UGACCAGCGGAAGGGAUCAUUACCGAGUUUACAACUCCCAAACCCCUGUGAACAUACCACUUGNUUGCCUCGGCGGAUCAGCCCGCUCCCGGUAAAACGGGACGGCCCGCCAGAGGACCCCUAAACUCUGUUUCUAUAUGUAACUUCUGAGUAAAACCAUAAAUAAAUCAAAACUUUCAACAACGGAUCUCUUGGUUCUGGCAUCGAUGAAGAACGCAGCAAAAUGCGAUAAGUAAUGUGAAUUGCAGAAUUCAGUGAAUCAUCGAAUCUUUGAACGCACAUUGCGCCCGCCAGUAUUCUGGCGGGCAUGCCUGUUCGAGCGUCAUUUCAACCCUCAAGCACAGCUUGGUGUUGGGACUCGCGUUAAUUCGCGUUCCUCAAAUUGAUUGGCGGUCACGUCGAGCUUCCAUAGCGUAGUAGUAAAGCCCUCGUUACUGGUAAUCGUCGCGGCCACGCCGUUAAACCCCAACUUCUGAAUGUUGACCUCGGAUCAGGUAGGAAUACCCGCUGAACUUAAGCAUAUCAAUAAGCGGAGGAA
This 538-nucleotide ribosomal RNA is filed under the name uncultured fungus. RNAcentral describes it as "eukaryotic LSU rRNA". The stretch from base 172 to 325 matches the Rfam family "5.8S ribosomal RNA". Lineage: Eukaryota; Fungi. The record is from RNAcentral.